This 463-nucleotide ribosomal RNA is filed under the name Odorrana sangzhiensis (Sangzhi odorous frog). Its description in RNAcentral is "Odorrana sp. n. BZ-2021 partial small subunit ribosomal RNA". It matches the Rfam family "Bacterial small subunit ribosomal RNA", at positions 275 to 940 of the family's 1533-position model. Lineage: Eukaryota; Metazoa; Chordata; Amphibia; Anura; Ranidae. The record is from RNAcentral.
UUUUACCUUCAUCAGGCCAAGGAGCCGGUAUCAGACACAAUCCUAGUCCACAACGCCUAGUCUCACCACACCCCCAAGGGUACUCAGCAGUGAUAAAUCUUGAGCAUAAGCGACAGCUUGACUCAGCCAGAGAAAAGAGGGCCGGCCAACCUGGUGCCAGCCGCCGCGGCUACCCCGUGGGGCUCAAGUUGAAGGCCAUCGGCGUUAAGCGUGAUUAAAGUUCAAUUAGAUUAAGGCCAAAUUAAUAACCUAGUAGUGUAAAGCUUGUUAUUAAGAAGAACACAAACGAAAGUUGCCCUAACCAUCAUACUUGAAUACACGACAGUUGGGAGACAAACUAGGAUCAGACACCCUACUAUGCCCAGCCGUAAACAAUUAACUCACACCCAUAAGCGCCAGGGAACUACGAGCCAUGCUUAAAACCCAAAGGAUUUGACGGUGUCCCACCCCCCUAGAGGAGCCU